Molecule: long non-coding RNA, 3134 nt
Organism: Daphnia pulex (common water flea)
Lineage: Eukaryota; Metazoa; Arthropoda; Branchiopoda; Diplostraca; Daphniidae
Exons: 9
Source: RefSeq, a predicted model, not a curated record
GUGUCUUCAGGGAGAAAAUUCGGCCAUUUUGUUUUAAGACGCAGCCGAAGUGGGUUACUGCCGAGUGUCCGUAACGUUUCUCAUGAUGAAAAAAGAAAGGUGAUUUAGCAUGUAAAUACCACUUAGCCAAGUCAUCUAAACUUCUAGUUGAAAGUGCCUGUACAUUUUGCCGAAAUGUCGUGCCUUUUUUGGCUGUCCUUGUAUGUCUUGCUGCCUCUAGAUUCAACAAUACGUAAUCUAGCCUGUAAAUUUCACUUGUCGAAGUAAUCUGAGCACCGUGGGCCAAAACUGCUCUCCAUUUGGCCAAAACUUCGUCUAUUCUCUAUUGCUACCUGUACGGAUUGGUUGCAAAUCUCAUCCCAUGCAGAUACUUUGGAUUAAUGAAAUUUAUGUUCAGGUAGUAGUUUGCUGAUCUAUGGAAGCAUUUGAGAACAGGGGUAAGUCGGAGCUUUGUUGCUAUCAUGCGUGUGGUUUUGCUUCAGCUGGUGAAAGGGGUGACUAGUCAAGUUGAGCUGCAGCAUGCAGUCUGUUAUCUGCUGGUGUUAUCCUAAAAUGUAACAGCAAUCGAACAGUUCUUGAAAUGGCAAAAAAAAAUAAUUGGUUGUAACUAUAAUAGUUUUUAUUGAAAUACUGUUUUCAGGUCACAAGAUGAACUUUGAUAACAAAAAUUAGUGAUAUGGUUUUCUUUUACAUGGGGUACACAGCAUAACAGCCCACAUCUCUACUUGACAGCUCUACCAAUGUGUUCAACAGGAUCAGAAGUAACAUCAGUGAUGCCAAGAAUCUAAGGACUUGAAAAAGGUUUCUCAUUUUACAGUCAUGGUGAUCCUAAAGAAGAUGAAAAUUUUUAAGUUUUAGUUUUUUAUGUAGAGACAAAUGAUGGUUGGCUGAAAACAAUGGGAUGUACAUGGCUCAUUUUAUCGUCACUCUGGGUGGUGGACAUGUUAUAACUUAUAAAAUGUUUCCACAAGAAUGCAGUCAACUAUUAUCAAUUUGAUUAUUAGAUGACCUGUUUAUUUCUUCUUUUUUUUGCUCCAUCAUUUGAUAAGGGUUUAUUGUGAUGAACUGACAGGUGGAUGGUGGCAGCUUAGUUUGAUACAGGGAUCCAUUCUUUGAUGGUUUCGAUUCGGACUAGCCCGGUGCAUCAGUGGGCCCUCUUCCGACAAACCCAGAUCAGUUUCAUUAUCAAUGAUAUUUUCGAAUUUUUUUAGAAAAUGGCUAAUUGGUUUUCUUUUGUGAACAUAUGUUGGUGAUGGACCGGAAAUUCCAGAAUCGGAUGAGAUUUACGGCGGUGACUGUAGAACAGGAUGCAUAUUCGGAAGUCAUGGGCUGGCUGAUGGGCCCGCAACACGUCCAGUAGCCACAUCAAGACUCGGAAACGUUUUCGGUUCUCCGUUGCUGACGUCGGCCGUCUUGACUGAGUUGAUACCUGGAUUCUUCCCGAAUCUUCACUCGCUUCGACGACGACAAAGAAUUUUUCCGGUUCUAAUUUUUAUGUGAAGCGGGAGCGAUAACUGGGAGCAGCUGCCGAAUGAUUCUGAAACCACGAACUUACUCGUCCGUUUGGUGCGCCGAUUCGCCAAUUAUUUGUUUGGUCGUUUGUAUCGCAAUCGACUCCAACAUCACCGCAAUGAACCAAAACUAGGACGCUAUUUUGUUGCCGGGAGUUAUCAAAGAUAUCCUAUCGGUGCUGGAUCGUGGAUCGAAUCAUUCGUUCGGCUGAAGAAUAUCUCGAUUCUCUCGAAUGACCUGGCGCAACAACUCACAGAUCUCGUCCGGGAUCAACUCGCUUAUUCAAUCCCGCCAUUUUGGGAUCCAGCGAAGAAAACUUUUACUUCUCAGCUGAAUUUUUCAGUGUCGUACCAAAUGAGGUCGUUGUCCACUUUUCAACAACGGAUGCCACUGCUUCUAGUCAAUCUGCUGGACCGUAUUUGGCUUAAAAGAUUCAUUUCAGAUUUUUUGAUUGUUUGAAAUUGCCGUGAACUAGUUUGUUUGUUUUUUGUUUGUUUUCUGCAAUUCGUCUUGUUGUUUAGCGCCUAGAGUAGCAUAUCCAUAUCUGAGUAAGUGUCUAAUAGUUUGCGUAUUGGCCCAGUCGAAAGUACUGGAUAAAGUCUGAUUGGCGGCGAUCGUGUGCCCUUGGCCAGUUUUAGUGAUUAAGAGAACGCUGCCGUAGUUAAUGUCGUAAAAGUGGUGAUUUAUGACUCCGGCCUCUCUAGUUACAUUUCGUCGUCAGAAACAAAAAGGUUUUCCAUUCAGGGUUCACCAUCACUCAUACCGGUCUGUUACAGCAGUAGUCAACGGCGUACAGCGAAUUUUUUUUAUCAAUUUUUUUUUUUUUCAUUUAAAUGCUACAGUGCAUUAAUGUUAGUAGUUUUGUGAGUAAGAGUUCAUUGAGGAAGUAUUGGGUUAGUACAUGCAUGGUUUUAUAUAUUAGAAGAACAGACAUGGGAAACAUCGGGAGGUAAUAGAGGGGGGACAUGUGGAAGGAGUAGGAAAUGAACCUGGGGCCUUUCUUAUCAUCACUAGGGGCCGCAAUCAUGACACAGUGGACCAAUAUCUAAUUUGAUAAAUCUCGGGAAUUUUAUCAGAUCCGUUACAGGGCUGGCUGAGAAUGCUGUGAAAUGUUUCAAUUUAGGCUACACAGUAGGUAGCUAUUGGUUAUAGCUAAAAAUUGUCACGAGUUACGUGUUUGAAUCUUGUAGGACAAUGGAGGACUAAGAGGGUAGGAAGCAGAAGUGCUAAUACAUGCAGUAAAAUGCGAAUGUAUAAGAAAAGAAACGUGGUAAGUUGCAAUUUUAUUUUUCAACGGGAUAUUUACAUCCAUCAGGAUGAUUCCAUUCAUAUUAGAAAUGUUUGGUUAGUAAUGUAACUAUAAUUGCGUAUUAUAGAGACGUUACAUAGUGUUUAAGGAUUGAUCCACCGUAGUGUUGGUAGUUUUAAAUGGUACACGCGAAUCUUUCAGUCUUAUUCUGCAGUGUUGUGUUAGCAAUGGAGGAGUAGGUUUGUCGAAUUUGUGUUCUGGUCAUCCGUGUGGACAAUCGGUUUGACUGAGUGUUAGCUUGUCAAGGUUGUUUUAACUCUUACUUUUAUACGGCAGUAUAAAACUAAAUCAAUAAAUGUGUAAUUGAAAUUAA